CAUGGUUGUUGUAACAAGUCUGAUACAGUCAUGAUAUAACAAGAGUGUUACAAGGUUGACGACACAAAGUUGUAACAAUAUUGUUAUAUCAUGACUGUGUCGGACUUGUUGGAACAACCUUGC
RNAcentral lists this microRNA precursor (123 nucleotides) under Paramuricea clavata. Lineage: Eukaryota; Metazoa; Cnidaria; Anthozoa; Malacalcyonacea; Plexauridae. The record is from RNAcentral.